CCGAUACAGUGAUGACAACAUAGUUCAGCAGAAUGCACAGUGACGAAUACAAGCUUUGUCUUUCGCUCCUAUCUGAUGUAUCUG
Molecule: small nucleolar RNA, 84 nt
Organism: Chelydra serpentina (North American snapping turtle)
Lineage: Eukaryota; Metazoa; Chordata; Testudines; Chelydridae
Source: Ensembl